CAGACCAACUCUUGUCCAGUAUGUAGAUAUGAACUUCCCACUGAUGAUCCACACUACGAAGAACUAAAGAAACACAAGGCCAGACAGAAACAAAGGGAACAUGAUCUAGAAACCCUUCAUGACUCAAUGUUUGGAUAGAACAUGAGACAGUGGGGCACUGCUCUUCGUACCUCAUUCAGAAUGCCACUGUAAUUUUCUGAACAUUAAAAAAUGCAUCCAUCUGAACAGUAGUUCUUGUCUAAAAAAUUUUUUUAUAGAAAGCUCUUUAUCAAGAUUUUUUUCUGAAACCAUGAAACAAGAUGAAAAAAAAAAGAAAAAAAAACAGAAAUUAAAAAUCUACAUGCAUCAUGUUUAACAUACUUAAAAAUAAACAGAAAUCUUUCAUUGCACAUAAAACCAGUUUCACAAUAACUUUUCAAUAAUUCGUUAAGUUUUGUGGACUAUAAAUGCACACUUACAAUAAGAUGCACUCCAAUUCAGGUAAAAGCAAAAAAUGUAGAUUUCUCUUAUUUGCAGAUCUGCUUUAUAAUCCUUUCCUUUUUGAAAUGGUGUCUUGAUAUCCUGACCACUGGGGGAGUCUUUUGGAAACGUCUUCAUGUACCAUCAGUUGUGAAUAAAGAUUGUCACAUUUU
This is a long non-coding RNA of Lingula anatina, 632 nucleotides long. Lineage: Eukaryota; Metazoa; Brachiopoda; Lingulata; Lingulida; Lingulidae. The record is from RefSeq and is a predicted model, not a curated record.